GCGAAGGGGGCACAUUCAGGGUUUUCUGGAUGUCGGGAAGGAACCGCCGGGGGUGCUUUAGAAGUGGCCCGAGCCCGCCCCUGCACGCAGCUCGCACAGAAAGCGCCUGGACGCUCCCUUGGGACCUUUUGAACUCUGGCCGCUCGACCAAAACACCCUUUUGAAAAGGUGGUAUUCACUGGGCUGUCAGAAUUCAGGAACACCAAAUUAAGGCUAAUAAAACCGUGUUGGGCUCAGAACUGAGCGCCUUGGUUUUAAUCCCGACGCUUUGGAUUAAUACCAGGGGCGAAUUUCAAACAUUCAGGGCAGCUCUUUGGAAGAAAUAAAGAAGAUAGGAACGUCAUACAGAUUUAUUACAGAUUUAUUAAACAAUUUGUGUUUGUUUAUGCUGGAAGAGCUGGGGGGUGGUGGUUUUUGCCAAGAGCACCCCUACCAGUUAGGAAAGUGCGAAGGGAGUCAUUGCGAAGGCAGCCAAAGACCGAAACAGUGCCCUGCAAGUUUUUCCCAAGUCCCCUUGGGAAAGGCGAGCCUGAGAGGGAGAGGCGCUUUUCACCAAAACGUAUUUUGCAGAGGGCGGGAGGGAGCUUCCCGCUUCCCGCUUCCCGCUUCCCGCUUCCCGCUUCCCGCUUCCCGCUUCCCGCUCCCCGCUCCCGGAGUCGCCUGGAGCCUGUGCCCAAAGUUUCUGGUGACCAGAAAGGGACGGCUGGAUACCUUACUCACUUCAGAUCCUACUGACGGGAUCCUGGGAAACUGACAAAAGCCAGAAAAAGGUAAGCAUUCUCCCAGAGUCAGCUUUCUCAGAUAUCUGUUUGUAGCACCCAGUUAAGAGAGGAAGGUAAAAAAUUUCUCCUUGUGACUUUUUCUUUUCCAUAUUCAUAUUUGCAGAAGAAAAACUUGGAAACAUUAGUUCUUUGGAUUAUGAUUCUUGCACAUUUGACUAACUUGGUUUUGGGGUACAUCUUGUUUACUGAUUCUUUCCAUGCCAGAGACAGCUACUGCUUUCCUAGUUAUCUCAUUUUGCAUCCUGAGAGCUUGGCUUGGCUUUCUGCCUGCCAGGGAAAUGUGCAGACAGUCAACCAUCAGGUUGUUGGCCCUGAGAAUAUGGCCUGAUGGAAAUGCAGGUUGCACCUCAUUCUCCGCUAAUGUUCUACUGACUGUUGCCAGCCCCAAGAAGGGCCAUCUAAGUCUUUCUUGUGGCUAUCUUUGGGAGUGGUCUGGAUCUUGAAAGGCUGCCUUUUUUGCACUCUCUUUGAAGAUGGCUCUUGUGUCCACAGUUAAGCUAUAAAAGUCUUAUUGGUUGAAAGUCAUAAAAGG
This 1314-nucleotide long non-coding RNA is filed under the name Macaca mulatta (Rhesus monkey). RNAcentral's name for it is "lncRNA (ENSMMUG00000053314.1)". The record is from RNAcentral. Lineage: Eukaryota; Metazoa; Chordata; Mammalia; Primates; Cercopithecidae.